UUGAACGCUGGCGGCAUGGCUAAAACAUGCAAGUCGAGCGCGAAAGUUGGAGCAAUCCAUGAGUAGAGCGGCGAAAGGGUGAGUAAUAGGUUUCUACGUGCCUCAAGGUCGAGGAUAGCCAGGGGAAACUCUGGGUAAUACUCGAUGUGAUCGAGAGAUCAAAGGCUUGCCGCCUUGAGAGCGGGGAACCUCCUAUCAGCUAGUUGGUGAGGUAACGGCUCACCAAGGCUUUGACGGGUAGCGGGUGUGAGAGCAUGGCCCGCCACAUCGAAACUGAGACACGGCCCAGACUCCUACGGGAGGCAGCAGUGGGGAAUCUUGCGCAAUGGGCGAAAGCCUGACGCAGCGACGCCGCGUGAGGGAUGACGGCCUUCGGGUUGUAAACCGUCUUUCAGCUCCGACGAAGCGAAAGUGACGGUAGGAGCAGAAGAAGCACCGGCCAACUACGUGCCAGCAGCCGCGGUAAUU
Molecule: ribosomal RNA, 468 nt
Filed under: uncultured bacterium
Lineage: Bacteria
Description: bacterial SSU rRNA
Rfam family: Bacterial small subunit ribosomal RNA
Source: RNAcentral